GUCGGGCCUUACCCUCGGGACAUGCUGGCAGGAUUUGAUGUGCCUGACCAUGGCGAAUGUCUCUUGAGUGCGAUCAGACUGUUCCGAAUCCUGUUUUGACA
This is a long non-coding RNA of Thalassophryne amazonica, 101 nucleotides long. RefSeq lists it as uncharacterized. Lineage: Eukaryota; Metazoa; Chordata; Actinopteri; Batrachoidiformes; Batrachoididae. The transcript is spliced from 3 exons. The record is from RefSeq and is a predicted model, not a curated record.